RNAcentral lists this ribosomal RNA (468 nucleotides) under uncultured bacterium. RNAcentral's name for it is "partial 16S ribosomal RNA". It matches the Rfam family "Bacterial small subunit ribosomal RNA", at positions 28 to 507 of the family's 1533-position model. The record is from RNAcentral.
GACGAACGCUGGCGGCGUGCUUAACACAUGCAAGUCGAACGGAAAGGCCCUGCUUUUGUGGGGUGCUCGAGUGGCGAACGGGUGAGUAACACGUGAGUAACCUGCCCUUGACUUUGGGAUAACUUCAGGAAACUGGGGCUAAUACCGGAUAGGAGCUCCUGCUGCAUGGUGGGGGUUGGAAAGUUUCGGCGGUUGGGGAUGGACUCGCGGCUUAUCAGCUUGUUGGUGGGGUAGUGGCUUACCAAGGCUUUGACGGGUAGCCGGCCUGAGAGGGUGACCGGCCACAUUGGGACUGAGAUACGGCCCAGACUCCUACGGGAGGCAGCAGUGGGGAAUAUUGCACAAUGGGCGGAAGCCUGAUGCAGCAACGCCGCGUGCGGGAUGACGGCCUUCGGGUUGUAAACCUCUUUCGCCUGUGACGAAGCGUGAGUGACGGUAAUGGGUAAAGAAGCACCGGCUAACUACGUG